UACGUAGGGGGCAAGCGUUGUCCGGAAUCAUUGGGCGUAAAGCGCGCGUAGGCGGUCUCUUAAGUCCGGGGUGAAAGGUUCAGCGCUCAACGCGAACAGUGCCCUGGAGACUGGGGGACUUGAGUGUGGGAGGGGGCAGUGGAAUUCCUGGUGUAGCGGUGAAAUGCGUAGAUAUCAGGAGGAACACCGAUGGCGAAGGCAGCUGCCUGGCCUAACACUGACGCUGAGGUGCGAAAGCGUGGGGAGCGAACGGG
RNAcentral lists this ribosomal RNA (254 nucleotides) under uncultured bacterium. Its description in RNAcentral is "partial 16S ribosomal RNA". It matches the Rfam family "Bacterial small subunit ribosomal RNA", at positions 524 to 776 of the family's 1533-position model. The record is from RNAcentral.